ACCGAAAUCGCCCAACUUCAGGGACUUGGUGCCGUCCGGAUACUCACACACCUGCAGAACGAAACCAGAACCGAGUGCCACAGAGUUCAGCCCGGUGACUUGGUCCUGGAUAAACCUUUGGGUGGAGUCCUGGAGGAGGAGAAGCUGGAGCUGCUGGGAGUUUUGGGGGUUUUCUGAGGAGCGGCUGGACGAGGCGUUUUGGUCCUGCACUCUGGAGACGGACAAACGGACGGAAAAGCCGCCGUUUUCCCAGAAUGCGUCAGCACAAAGUCGUCCUGCGCGUACCGAAACUUCUCCGGCCCGCACGCCAUGAACACAUCGUCGUCCCCGAAGAAAUCCUGCAGGCAGCUCUUCAGCAGCUCCUGACAGACAAGAAACAAACACAUCGAGCCGCCGAAGAACUGUCUUGAGGAUUAGAGACAAAGUUUUCAUCAACACGGAUUUAUGCAGACGGAGAAAACGGAGAGAGAGAGGAAAGGUGAAGAAAAGAGGGAUCAGCAGAGAUAUGAAAGAAGGGAUUAAACGGAGGAAAGCUGCAGCGAAGUUCACACCAGUUGCCAUGGAGACCAUGCUGCAGGGUCAGAGAUGGCAUUUCUCUCCAAGCAAGCUGAGACGCCUCCUUAUAUGCGACCCCGAUGCUCAAAGAUCCAGAGACCUCCACCUCCCAGUAGUGGCGCUUUGUCAGGCCCUGACUGC
Molecule: long non-coding RNA, 696 nt
Organism: Xiphophorus maculatus (southern platyfish)
Lineage: Eukaryota; Metazoa; Chordata; Actinopteri; Cyprinodontiformes; Poeciliidae
Exons: 6
Source: RefSeq, a predicted model, not a curated record